GAUGAACGCUAGCUACAGGCUUAACACAUGCAAGUCGAGGGGAAACGGCAUUAAGUGCUUGCACUUUUUGGACGUCGACCGGCGCACGGGUGAGUAACGCGUAUCCAACCUUCCCAUGACUAAGGGAUAACCUGCCGAAAGGCAGACUAAUACCUUAUGGUCUUCACUGACGGCAUCAGAUGUGAAGUAAAGAUUUAUCGGUUAUGGAUGGGGAUGCGUCUGAUUAGCUUGUUGGCGGGGUAACGGCCCACCAAGGCAACGAUCAGUAGGGGUUCUGAGAGGAGGGUCCCCGACAUUGGAACUGGGACCCGGUCCAAACGCCUACGGGAGGCAGCGGUGAGGAAGAUUUGUCAAUGGGCGAGAGCCUGAACCAGCCAAGUAGCGGGCAGGAUGACGGCCCUAUGGGUUGUAAACUGCUUUUGUAUGGGGAUAAGGUCAAUAACGUGUGAUUGUUGCAGGUACCAUACGAAUAAGGACCGGCUAAUUCCGUG
Molecule: ribosomal RNA, 491 nt
Filed under: uncultured bacterium
Lineage: Bacteria
Description: partial 16S ribosomal RNA
Rfam family: Bacterial small subunit ribosomal RNA
Source: RNAcentral